Neofelis nebulosa (Clouded leopard) is the source of this 4626-nucleotide long non-coding RNA. RefSeq lists it as uncharacterized. The record is from RefSeq and is a predicted model, not a curated record. The transcript is spliced from 2 exons. Lineage: Eukaryota; Metazoa; Chordata; Mammalia; Carnivora; Felidae.
AGACAUAGCACAGGUGGGGGGAGGGGCAGAGAGAGAGGGAGACACGGAAUCCGAAGCAGGCUCCGAGCUGUCAGCACAGAGCCUGACGCGGGGCUCGACGUGGGGCUCGACCUCACAGACCACGAGAUCAUGACCUGAGCCGAAGUCGGACGCUUAACCGACUGAGCCACCCAGACGCCCCCAUAGCACUGCACUUUAUAAAUGCCUCCUAUUAAGAGGCCUUUAUCUUACAGUUCCCCAAAUAGCUGGCAAACUGCCCAUGAAAUGGUCUCACUUGCAAAGUGUGAUGUCUCUGCCACCUCUCACUCACUUCAUGAUCCCCCUGCAUGCUGACUGCCCUGGCUCAUCAUAUUUCAAAGUGUUGUUGGGGUCUGGGUGAGAUGCUCACAGAAUUUCAAACGGUCUGCAAAACCCCAUCCCGUUGCAAGAUGGAUCGUGUUAAUGACCCCCUCUUCUAUAUGGCUGCCAGAGGCCAGCUCCCAUGGCUUAGAGACGGAGCUCUAUAAUUCAAAUUAGCUCACCGGCCUUUGCUCUCGACGCUGUGCCGCCCUAUUUACGAAAUCACUGUGUUAAUGCUGAAAUCACAAUGGGACGUGGUGAAGAUUUGUUUAGGACUCCAGCCAGUAUUGAUUUCCUGACAGUCUGAGCGAUGUUUCCCUUCCUUUCCUGGCAUUCCAGGCUUCUGGGGACAGGCUUUGAUAGAGCUAAGAUGUGGUCCACCUCGUGGUUAGAAAAUUGGGUCCCGAGGUCACCCAAGAACUUCUUAUUCUUUAGCCCUUGUCUAUUAAUAACAUUUAUUUAAAACUCCUCUAAGACCCUCACUUCCUACCCUCUGGAUGCGGGUUAUUCUCUGUGUCUGCAGAACUUAGAAGUGUACCUCAGCCAGCACGGAGGACAGAUUGGCACUCAUGUUCAGCUUUCUGGGCUGUGAUGUCGCGCUGUUCAGGACUGGACCAACCAACGAGGUCUACACAAAAGACUUCCAGCCACAGAGCCACUUUGUAACUCAACGUCCAACUAUCACUGCUUGGCGAUGGUGUGCAUUGUUUAAAUCCCUUCCUUCUGGGUUUUAAGAUGGAUUUGUGCAAUUAAUUGAAAAGACCAGCCUCACCUUGUUAAGGACUGUAAUGAGAGCAGAGUUUCUCAAAGCAUGGCAUGGGGACAUCUGUUCUAGAACCAACUGGGGAGCAUCUAUCCUGAUUCCAGCUCUUCUGAAUCCCAAUUCCCGAGGGAUCUUCAGUUUUAACAACCUGUCUGGGUAAUUCCUUGCACAUCAACUGUGAGAACCCUGGAAAGAUGGUUUGGAACUUCUUUACCCCUUGAUUUCUAAAGUGGCAUCACUUAACCUUCCUAAAUCUCUGCUGAGAACUUAUGAUACAUUCUGUGCUGCGCUGAAUGUCCAGUUCUGCUCAGCAGACAUCGAUGGAGUCUCUCCCAAGGGUCACACACUUCCCCGAGGUGCCAAGGUUGUUGUGCCGAGGCGUCGGGAUUUCUGAGUCUAAAGAGACAUGUAAAGGGCAAGGUAAAGUCGCAUUUAAUAGGGUUAAGUGCAAGUACAGAGUUAGCACAGAGGCUAGGGGAACACCGGGACAGAAGUUCUGCCAGACUAGCAGGAUGGGGGAAGCAGGCAGGGAAGGCCUCCUGGAAUGCCAAUCUCUGACCUGCAGGGGAUAGCGUCACCUGUCGCUUUCAGGGCACCUCCCACUGUCCUGAGCUCCUCAUUUUGUUAUCUCCUAAAAGAAAUUAGACCAGGAUCAGGAUGAUAUUUCUCCCCUACACACUCUCAUCCACAGCUUCAAUAAGAUCCCUCCUCCUUUGAUUAUUUGUGUACAUACUUUAACUUGUUCUUCUCUUGUUCCCUCUCCAUUUCUUUUUUCUUAUUUGCUGCCCCCUCCGCAGCCUCAUGGACACACACUGUUGCAUUUAAGACCUGUGAAAACAAGGACUGUUGACUUCAUUUUUGUAUCCAUCUGAAUGUCUUGAGAAUAGCAGAUACACCAGGGGCGCCUGGGUGGCUCAGUCGGUGAAGCGUCCGACUUUGGGCUCAGGUCACGAUCUCGCGGUUCGUGAGUUCGAGCCCCGCGUUGGGCUCUGUGCUGACAGCUCAGAGCCUGGAGCCUGCUUCGGAUUCUGUGUCUCCCUCUGUCUCUUCCCCUCCCCCAUGCACGCUGUCUCUCAAACAUAAAUAAACGUAAAAAAAGAGAAGAAUAGAUACACCAUAAGUAUUCAUUAAAUUGGAUGGAUUUGCUAUACCAUUUCUUAAAGUGCUUCCUUUAUAGCCAAAAGCUCCGUGUCUGUCUAUUAAAGACUUUGCAACCCUUUCCCUCGCACAUAAACAUAUCCAGAAGCUAAUAAGCCAAAGACAUGGUUAUUAAUAUCGAGAGUCGAGGAUGACUCAUGAGGCUCCUCCAACAAUCAAGGAUGAAAAUCUAAGGGGUUGGAGGACAAGCACUUAAUUCAGCUCAACACUCAUGAGCGGAACAGCCGUCCCCUGCCUGUCUUGCAGUGUGCAUGGUAUAUUAGAUUAGGGUCCUAUCCUUUCACACUUCAUAGUUCUCAAACAAACCUUUUCCAUCCCGUGAUGCGAUUUUCAUUCAGCCACCUUCUUUGUUGAAUUUAAAGCCUGUGAGUUUGGGGACUGUCUGUAUCGUUCACCAGUGGCCCAAGCGUCCCUUCCAAAUGAAGGCCGUCACAGUUGUCCCAUGUUACCAGUCGUGCGUUAGCAUCAGCGGGGCACAUUCUGCACAUUUAUGACUUCAGAGGAACAAGACGGGUAACCUCUGUUCUCCCUGCUCUUACCUGUUGGGAUGCGUGCUCACGUAACUGGCGAAUGGAUGAAUAGACUAUGGGGAAAACCCACUUGUUACCCUGUAAGGAUUUCUGUUCUAGAGGAAGUGGUGCAGGUGUGGGAAGAAAACAAUAUAAAACGGUGGUUAAGGAAGCACCGAGCUGGGAUAAAAAUGAAAGCUCCUCCAAGUUGAGGCUCUACGCUUCCUAAUUAGGGUUACUCAAGCUAGUGUGUGUGCGUGUGCGUGUGCACAGUGAUUUCAGCAGUUACCGCAUUUCCUGUCUAUCUGGAUGAAUCAUGUAUUUCUUUUCUCUUUUCUCUGCUCCAGGUUUGCCAAAAUUUGCCAACCAUGUAGGACGGCCUCUGACGAAUGACUUCAAUCUGAAUAUCCAGAAAUUGUCUGAUUUGCAGUCUGCUUGGAAUCAACUGCUAUAUUGGAAGGGAGUGAGCAACUACAUUAUUGAGAAAAAACCAUUUUAAUUUGGUUAUGUGUCUUUUUUUUUUUUUUUUAAUCUCAUUUUUGCUUUCCUAAAUUGUAAUCUGCUCAGGAAAAGAAUAUCAAUUCGUCUUUACUUUGCCAACGCUAGCAGUUGAAAGGGAACUGGCUGGGAAAUGUGAUAGAGAACCAACCACGUGGGUAGAUGGUCCCCUCUUAUUCCCUGAGGCAUUGUUUCAUACAUGAAUUUUCAUCUAGAGAAUUCCAUGAGGUGCUUUUAACAAUGCAAAUUCCUGGGCCUGCCUACAAACACCUAUCCCUUGCUGAACUGUUUAAUUAAUACCAACUUGAAAGUAAAUAUGGGGCGCCUGGGUGGCUCAGUCAUUUAGCAUCCGACUUCAGCUCCGGUCAUGAUCUCACAGUUCAUGAGUUCGAGCCCCGUGUCAGGCUCCGUGCUCACAACUCAGAGCCCGGAACCUGCUUUGGAUUCUGUGUCUCCCUGCCUCUCUCCCUCUGCCCCUCCCCUGCUUACUCUCUCUCUUUUUUUCUCUUUCUCUCGAAUAAAUAAAUAACAAAGUAAAUAAAUUGCAGUUUGCACAUAAAAUACAGUGAAGAAAAAGUUCAUUCUCCCCAGGGAGUAGCUUCAUGGGAGUUGGUGACAGUAGAUGAGGGUUCGUGGAAAAUGGGCAGGAGAGAGCCUCUCUCUGGGAAAGCACCUUCUUCUUUUGAACCAUUUCCUUGCCAAGGUUGCAACCUUCUUGGGGUUCAUGAUCGCCUUUCACUCAUGUGCUAUUAAAAAUAGAAGAGAAGAAGAUCUUUAAGGGUCAAAAAAAAAAAAAAAAGGCAAAACACCUGAAUGCCUUGACACGCAUAAACACGGUGCAAUUGUACAGCCAGCGAAAGUUGUACAAGACGCUCCCUGUCAUUGCUCUCACUUGGUGCCUGUUCUCGAAGUAAAUGUGGCCUGCGAUUCAGAUUUGUUCUGCAUGCUGUUCUCCAGCUAGGCAGUUCUUUUUUUCAAAAAUUUUUUAAUGUUUUAUUAUUUAUUUUUGAGAGUGAGAGAGACAGGACACCAGUGGGGAAGACACAGAGAGAGACAGAGGGAGACACAGAAUCUGAAGCAGGCUCCAGGCUCUGAGCUGUCAGCACAGAGCCCGAUGCGGGGCUCGAACUCACCAACCGUGAGCUCAUGACCUGAGCCAAAGUCGGACUCUUAAGCGACUGAGCCACCCAGGUGCCCCGAGAGCCUGCUGUUUUGAUGCUGUGUCAGGAAAGCACACCUUGAGAAUUGCUUAUGUUGCCUGUCUUCUGUGUUGUGCACGGUUUUAUAGAGGGUCACUACGUUUACAUGAUAAUACCUUUCAAAGUUAGAUGCAGCAAUACAAAUAAUUGUUUACGAGUA